GUGAAUCAUCAAAUUUUUGAACGCACAUUGCGCUCUUUGGUAUUCCGGAGAGCAUGCCUGUUUGAGGGUCAGUCUAUAUAACAAUCGGUGUGGUUGCGGACUUUCGUGGUGACGCAGCGGAUUUGGGUCGUCUUGUUUUCGGUUAAGUGAUGUAAAAUGCUUCAUGUUUUUUUUUGAACGUAUUUAAAUGAUUUUAUGUACGUUUGCGAUAUCGAUUACUAGGUGUGGUAAUACUUAAGCUUUGCGCA
Molecule: unclassified non-coding RNA, 248 nt
Filed under: Glomus sp.
Lineage: Eukaryota; Fungi; Glomeromycota; Glomeromycetes; Glomerales; Glomeraceae
Description: partial contains 5.8S ribosomal RNA and internal transcribed spacer 2
Rfam family: 5.8S ribosomal RNA (bases 1-71)
Source: RNAcentral